RNAcentral lists this ribosomal RNA (301 nucleotides) under uncultured bacterium. Its description in RNAcentral is "partial 16S ribosomal RNA". It matches the Rfam family "Bacterial small subunit ribosomal RNA", at positions 509 to 807 of the family's 1533-position model. The record is from RNAcentral.
CAGUCGCCACGGGAAUACGAAGGGGGCUAGCGUUGCUCGGAAUGACUGGGCGUAAAGGGCGCGUAGGCGGAUGGCACAGUCAGAUGUGAAAUUCCCGGGCUUAACCUGGGGGCUGCAUUUGAUACGUGUUGUCUAGAGUGAGGAAGAGGGUCGUGGAAUUCCCAGUGUAGAGGUGAAAUUCGUAGAUAUUGGGAAGAACACCGGUGGCGAAGGCGGCGACCUGGUCCUUUACUGACGCUGAGGCGCGAAAGCGUGGGGAGCAAACAGGAUUAGAUACCCCCGUAGUCCCUGUCUCUUAUAC